CCUACGGGCGGCAGCAGUGAGGAAUAUUGGUCAAUGGCCGGAAGGCUGAACCAGCCAUGCCGCGUGAAGGUCAGUGCCCUAUGGGCGUUAAACUUCUUUUGUGCGGGAGCAAUAAUGGUCACGUGUGGCCAGACGAGAGUACCGUACGAAUAAGCAUCGGCUAACUCCGUGCCAGCAGCCGCGGUAAUACGGGGGAUGCAAGCGUUAUCCGGAUUUAUUGGGGUUAAAGGGUGCGUAGGCUGGGUGGUGAGUCAGCGGUGAAAUGCCCCCGCUCAACGGGGUGAGGUGCCAUUGAUACUGCCUUGCUGGAAUGCGGAUGCCGUGGGAGGAAUGUGUGGUGUAGCGGUGAAAUGCAUAGAUAUCACACAGAACACCGAUUGCGAAGGCAUCUCACGAAUCCGCGAUUGACGCUGAUGCACGAAAGCGUGGGUAUCAAACAGUAUUAGAUACCCGGGUAGU
Molecule: ribosomal RNA, 459 nt
Filed under: uncultured bacterium
Lineage: Bacteria
Description: partial 16S ribosomal RNA
Rfam family: Bacterial small subunit ribosomal RNA
Source: RNAcentral